Molecule: ribosomal RNA, 430 nt
Filed under: uncultured bacterium
Lineage: Bacteria
Description: bacterial SSU rRNA
Rfam family: Bacterial small subunit ribosomal RNA
Source: RNAcentral
UGAGGAAUUUUCCGCAAUGGGCGAAAGCCUGACGGAGCGACGCCGCGUGGGUGACGAAGGUCUUCGGAUUGUAAAGCCCUGUCAGGGGGAAAGAACCCUUACCAUGCAAAUAGUUUGGUAAGUUGACGGUACCCCCAAAGGAAGCUCCGGCAAACUACGUGCCAGCAGCCGCGGUAAUACGUAGGGAGCGAGCGUUAUCCGGAAUCACUGGGCGUAAAGAGCUCGUAGGCGGUUGGCUAAGUCGUGCGUUAAAGCCCCGGGCUUAACCCGGGAGAUGCGCGCGAAACUGGCCGGCUAGAGGACGGGAGAGGUAAGUGGAAUUCCUGGUGUAGCGGUGAAAUGCAUAGAUAUCAGGAAGAACACCAGUGGCGAAGGCGGCUUACUGGACCGUUCCUGACGCUGAGGAGCGAAAGCUGGGGGAGCAAACGGG